UGCUCUUCCCAUCUCGAGAGCAAGAGGAAGAGAGAGGCCCUCAGCUGCUGGGGAGUCCCUGCCCCAACUUAUCCUGCAAAACACUGAGAAUCUCCCGACCUCCACCGUUUCCAUCCCAGACCCCCUGAAGAAGGGGAGGGGCUUGGGGAGCCCUACCUUGUCAUGUACCAUCAAUAAAGUAUACUGUACC
This is a non-coding RNA of Callorhinus ursinus (northern fur seal), 190 nucleotides long. NCBI's taxonomy places the organism in Eukaryota, Metazoa, Chordata, Mammalia, Carnivora, Otariidae. The record is from RefSeq and is a predicted model, not a curated record.